RNAcentral lists this ribosomal RNA (468 nucleotides) under uncultured organism. RNAcentral describes it as "bacterial SSU rRNA". It matches the Rfam family "Bacterial small subunit ribosomal RNA", at positions 28 to 507 of the family's 1533-position model. The record is from RNAcentral.
GACGAACGCUGGCGGCGUGCCUUACACAUGCAAGUCGAACGGAAUCCAAGGAGUGCUUGCACUCCUGAAGAUUUAGUGGCGAACGGGUGAGUAACACGUGAGAAACUUGCCCCAGACUCGGGGAUAACUCAGGGAAACCUGAGCUAAUACCGGAUAUGCUCACAGAGCCGCAUGGCUCAGCGAGAAAAGUUUUUCGGUCUGGGAGAGUCUCGCGGCCUAUCAGCUUGUUGGCGGGGUAACGGCCCACCAAGGCUACGACGGGUAGCUGGUUUGAGAGAACGAUCAGCCACACUGGAACUGAGACACGGUCCAGACUCCUACGGGAGGCAGCAGUGGGGAAUCUUGCGCAAUGGGCGAAAGCCUGACGCAGCAACGCCGCGUGCGGGAUGAAGGCCUUCGGGUUGUAAACCGCUUUCAGCAGGGACGAAGAUGACGGUACCUGCAGAAGAAGCCCCGGCUAACUACGUG